GGGCCCGCACAAGCGGUGGAGCAUGUGGUUUAAUUCGAUGCAACGCGAAGAACCUUACCUACUCUUGACAUCCUCAGAAGAGACUGGAGACAGUCUUGUGCCUUCGGGAACUGAGAGACAGGUGCUGCAUGGCUGUCGUCAGCUCGUGUUGUGAAAUGUUGGGUUAAGUCCCGCAACGAGCGCAACCCUUAUCCUUGUUUGCCAGCACUUCGGGUGGGAACUCCAGGGAGACUGCCGGUGAUAAACCGGAGGAAGGUGGGGACGACGUCAAGUCAUCAUGGCCCUUACGAGUAGGGCUACACACGUGCUACAAUGGCGCAUACAGAGGGCAGCCAACUUGCGAAAGUGAGCGAAAUCCCAAAAAGUGCGUCGUAGUCCGGAUUGGAGUCUGCAACUCGACUCCAUGAAGUCGGAAUCGCUAGUAA
RNAcentral lists this ribosomal RNA (425 nucleotides) under uncultured bacterium. Its description in RNAcentral is "bacterial SSU rRNA". It matches the Rfam family "Bacterial small subunit ribosomal RNA", at positions 917 to 1341 of the family's 1533-position model. The record is from RNAcentral.